This 1195-nucleotide ribosomal RNA is filed under the name Candidatus Taylorbacteria bacterium RIFCSPLOWO2_01_FULL_43_44. Its description in RNAcentral is "bacterial SSU rRNA". The stretch from base 1 to 874 matches the Rfam family "Bacterial small subunit ribosomal RNA", at positions 95 to 873 of the family's 1533-position model. Lineage: Bacteria; Candidatus Tayloriibacteriota. The record is from RNAcentral.
CCGGCAGACGAGGUAGUAAAAAGUAGGAACGCACCUUGAAGUCGGGCAUAGCUCGUCGAAAGACGGGGUAAUUCUCGAUAGUUCCGCACACUAACUUUGUCAUUGUAUCUUUCAGUUGUCUCACAACUAUCAAGUUUUCGACAACGGAAGAAUUAGGCAUCAGACAUGUUCUGAUACUUAUGAUACAAGACAACGAUGAUAAAGUUAGUGUGCGGAUAAAGUCGUAAGACGCUUCUUGAGCGGCCUGCUCGGUAUCAGCUAGUUGGUAGGGUAAAAGCCUACCAAGGCUAUGACGCCUAGGGGAGGUGAGAGCCUGACCCCCACCGAUGGAACUGAGAUACGGUCCAUACACCUACGGGUGGCUGCAGUCGAGAAUCUUCCACAAUGGACGAAAGUCUGAUGGAGCGACGCCGCGUGCGGGAUGAAAUCCUUCGGGAUGUAAACCGCUUUUGCCAGGGAGGAAGUCUAUUGACGUUACCUGGAGAAUAAGAGGUUGCUAAACUCGUGCCAGCAGCAGCGGUAAUACGAGUGCCUCGAGCGUUAUCCGGAAUUAUUGGGCGUAAAGGGUGUGUAGGUGGUCUUGUUAGUCUCUCGUUAAAUUCUUCGGCUUAACCGGGGGCAUGCGGGGGAAACGGCAAGACUAUGAGGGUUUGAGAGGUUUGCGGAACUCAAGGUGUAGGGGUGAAAUCCGUUGAUAUCUUGGGGAACACCAAAAGCGAAGGCAGCAAACUAGCAAAUUCCUGACACUGAAACACGAAAGCGUGGGGAGCAAAUGGGAUUAGAUAAACGCUCGUUAGAUAUGAAUUUUUUGAACAGACUGCUUCAGUAAUCGGAAAUUACAGUCGCUUUGUUUGAGAAAAAUUGAAAACUCGCCGCGAUUACGCGGCUCAGACAGUUCAAUUUUUCUACAAAGCUUCUUAAUUUCCAGAUUACUUCUCGCAAUGUUCAAAAAAUUCAUAUCUAACUCGCUCCGGUUGAAAGAAGACGGGAGCGAAAAGAGCAAAUGUCUCUUCGUGCGGCGACGCACGAUGACAACCUAGCUAUAUGCUGGAAAACCCGAGUAUCCGAUAGUACCGCAAGGUAACAAUCUAUCGGUGCGGGCAAUCAGCAGGGAAGGAAUGGAAAUGGCAGAUAUGAAGAUAGAUAAUAUCAAAAAAGCUUUGUCGGAGUAUGACGAAGCUGAGGCUCAGAUAAA